This 398-nucleotide ribosomal RNA is filed under the name Acanthocyclops vernalis. Its description in RNAcentral is "partial 12S ribosomal RNA". The record is from RNAcentral. Lineage: Eukaryota; Metazoa; Arthropoda; Copepoda; Cyclopoida; Cyclopidae.
UUUACAAUUUACAGUUAUAUGAGUUAAUAAAUAAUUUUGUUAUUCACGUAAAGCAAACAACUAACAAAACCGGGGUAGAAUCCGAGUAUGCUAAUUUUUAUAGGUAUUAAAAGUAAACCUAAAUUGUGUGGCAGUUAUUUAUUCUUUUUAGAGAAUUUUGGUUUAUAAUUUGAUAAUCCACAAUAUUAUUUACUGAAUUUUAGUUUAUGUGUGGUUGUCAAGAAAUAAAAGUCAUUUUAAAUUUUCCCCAAAUAACAUAUAGUUUAAUUCAGGAAAACUGAAAUGCAGUGUGAUUUUAUGUUAAAUAAAUAAAAAGUAUUUAAUAGUAGGAAAAAAAAAUCGAAUAAGUUAUAAAUAAGGUUCAUAUUGUCCGUCACUCUCCUUAGAGAUAAGUCGUA